This 196-nucleotide unclassified non-coding RNA is filed under the name Alternaria sp. Wb8-ITS14. RNAcentral describes it as "sequence contains 18S rRNA gene, ITS1 and 5.8S rRNA gene". The stretch from base 147 to 196 matches the Rfam family "5.8S ribosomal RNA", at positions 1 to 50 of the family's 154-position model. Lineage: Eukaryota; Fungi; Ascomycota; Dothideomycetes; Pleosporales; Pleosporaceae. The record is from RNAcentral.
GCUGGACCUCUCGGGGUUACAGCCUUGCUGAUUAUUCACCCUUGUCUUUUGCGUACUUCUUGUUUCCUUGGUGGGUUCGCCCACCACUAGGACAAACAUAAACCUUUUGUAAUUGCAAUCCGCGUCAGAAACAAAUUAAUAAUUACAACUUUCAACAACGGAUCUCUUGGUUCUGGCAUCGAUGAAAAACGCAGCA